Long non-coding RNA from Musa acuminata AAA Group (dessert banana), 612 nucleotides. RefSeq lists it as uncharacterized. The record is from RefSeq and is a predicted model, not a curated record. NCBI's taxonomy places the organism in Eukaryota, Viridiplantae, Streptophyta, Magnoliopsida, Zingiberales, Musaceae. The transcript has 2 exons.
GAUGUCUAGUGACGAUUUCUUCUUUCCCACGGUACCCUCGCUUCUUUACCUGGCGGCGGACGGAAUACCCAAUUAGAAGAGAGGAAGAAGAAGGGGAGAAGAAGGACUAUGUGAGGAGGCAAAGGAGAAGAGACGGAAGAACAGAGAAGGGGAAGGGAAUGGUGUUCAACGCAGGGUGGGUGGCGGCGGUGGCGAGGGUGUCGGCCGAGGCGUGCCAGUACGUGGCUUGCAACCCGGAACGGCUGAGCAGUGAGGAAGUGCUCGACCUCCUCUUCUGCCUCCCCCUCCGCCAUCUCCGCGGCUUCGCCCUCUGCCUCUUCUCCUUCCUCUGCUUCCCACCCUUCCUGUCCGACGACCUCCGCCGCAACCGUCUCUAUUACCUCGGAUCCUCCUCCUCUUCGUCGUCCUCCUCAGACGAAUAUGACUCCACCGGCGGCGGCUACGACUCGCAUUCCGACUGAUGGAUAGAACCCGGCGGAUCUCUGUUCACUAUGCACAGUUAAAUUUGGCACUAAAACUGUUCCAUUAUCAGGAUCGUUAAAUUUGAGUUACAAACAUUUCAGGUCUUAUAGCUUCUUACAUAAUUGUCAGUGUUUCUUGAUCUAUUAUCAU